AACGAACGCUGGCGGCAUGCCUAACACAUGCAAGUCGAACGAGCCCUUCGGGUCUAGUGGCGCACGGGUGCGUAACGCGUGGGAACCUGCCCUUAGGUUCGGAAUAACUCCCCGAAAGGGGUGCUAAUACCGGAUAAUGUCUUCGGACCAAAGAUUUAUCGCCUUUGGAUGGGCCCGCGUUGGAUUAGCUAGUUGGUAGGGUAAAAGCCUACCAAGGCGACGAUCCAUAGCUGGUCUGAGAGGAUGAUCAGCCACACUGGGACUGAGACACGGCCCAGACUCCUACGGGAGGCAGCAGUGGGGAAUAUUGGACAAUGGGCGAAAGCCUGAUGCAGCAAUGCCGCGUGAGUGAUGAAGGUCUUAGGAUUGUAAAGCUCUUUUACCCGGGAUGAUAAUGACGGUACCGGGAGAAUAAGCUCCGGCUAACUCCGUG
This 433-nucleotide ribosomal RNA is filed under the name uncultured bacterium. Its description in RNAcentral is "partial 16S ribosomal RNA". It matches the Rfam family "Bacterial small subunit ribosomal RNA", at positions 29 to 507 of the family's 1533-position model. The record is from RNAcentral.